GAUGAACGCUGGCGGCGUGCCUAAUACAUGCAAGUCGAGCGAACAGACGAGGAGCUUGCUCCUCUGACGUUAGCGGCGGACGGGCGAGUAACACGUGGAUAACCUACCUAUAAGACUGGGAUAACUUCGGGAAACCGGAGCUAAUACCGGAUAAUAUAUUGAACCGCAUGGUUCAAUAGUGAAAGACGGUUUUGCUGUCACUUAUAGAUGGAUCCGCGCUGCAUUAGCUAGUUGGUAAGGUAACGGCUUACCAAGGCAACUAUGCGUAGCCGACCUGAGAGGGUGAUCGGCCACACUGGAACUGAGACACGGUCCAGACUCCUACGGGAGGCAGCAGUAGGGAAUCUUCCGCAAUGGGCGAAAGCCUGACGGAGCAACGCCGCGUGAGUGAUGAAGGUCUUCGGAUCGUAAAACUCUGUUAUUAGGGAAGAACAAAUGUGUAAGUAACUAUGCACGUCUUGACGGUACCUAAUCAGAAAGCCACGGCUAACUACGUG
This 497-nucleotide ribosomal RNA is filed under the name uncultured bacterium. RNAcentral describes it as "partial 16S ribosomal RNA". It matches the Rfam family "Bacterial small subunit ribosomal RNA", at positions 28 to 507 of the family's 1533-position model. The record is from RNAcentral.